This is a non-coding RNA of Frankia sp., 248 nucleotides long. The record is from Rfam. Lineage: Bacteria; Bacillati; Actinomycetota; Actinomycetes; Frankiales; Frankiaceae.
GACGGGUGCACGCCGAAUCCCUGCCCCCACCCGCCGGAAACAAAAACCCGAUGGCAGGAGCGGGGGAACCAAUACCCGGCCACCGAACCUGGUGGCCUUGGGGUGAAGCCGCAGGGCCGUUGGCAGCAAUGAGGAACCGUCUUCCUUGCUGUCGAAGGCACAGGAUUUGGGAGUUCCUGACAUGCGGCCGGGCUUGUUCCCUGCCCGAACCCGACAGCUCACCUCGCGAGGCGUGGGGAAGAAAACUC